This 1409-nucleotide long non-coding RNA is filed under the name Ornithorhynchus anatinus (platypus). RNAcentral's name for it is "lncRNA (ENSOANG00000049364.1)". The record is from RNAcentral. Lineage: Eukaryota; Metazoa; Chordata; Mammalia; Monotremata; Ornithorhynchidae.
CAUCCUAGUGAGGGGGAAGGGAAAGCUGGCCAGGAGGUCUCUACCCCGUUUCUCUUAAAGAUUGGGGAGGGGGCCCUCACUGGGGGCAAGAUGCCAAUUCCUUCAUGGGCUCCCUCUUUUCUGGUUUGACUCUUGCAGUGCUGGGUCCCUGGGGUUGCCCACUCCCCACCCAACCUCUGUGGGGACUGCCCAGGGUCCUGAGCCAGAUUGGAACAAGAGGAACAGAAGCCAAGAAAAAACCAAGUUUUGUUGAAGACUCACAGUUGCAGCUUCUUGAGGCUGGGGAUGGAGAAUUCUGCAUUGGAGCAGCGCCUGAGGAAGGAGUAUCAACAAUGACUUGAGCAAGGCAGAGUUCAUCUUUGGAAGCAGAAAACUUUCACAAUCUGUUUCUAAUCGACCGGAUCAGAAGAGCCAAAGCCCAAGCUUCCACGAAAGAACUAGAACACAGAGCCAGCCAGGGCUCUGAAUUGGAAAUUUCUUUGAGGAGUCCAUCUCCCUUGGCUCUUUGCUCAUCCCCCUUCUGCUCUUUCACUUUGCUCAUGACCGACUCUCUCCUCUUCCCCUGUUCAUCCACCUCUGAAGUCCUCAGGUUGAAAGGUACCUAGAGAGACCACCUGGUCCAACCCCUGCCUCAUCCAGGGCCACGCCUUCACCAAUCUUUCGCAUUUAUUGAGCACUCACUGUGCAGAGCACUGUACUAUGCAUUUGGCAGAGUACAAUACAACAGAAUUGGUAGGCACGAUACCUGCCCAUAAGGUGCUUACAAUCUAGAGCGGGAGACGGACAAUAUAAAUAAAUUAUGGAUCUGUAUGUAAAAGCUGUAAGGCUGAGAGUGGGGUGAUUGAAGAGUGCAAAUCCAAGUGUAAGGGUGAUGCUGAAGGAAGUGGGAGAAGAGGAAACAAUAAAAAUUAUGAUAUUUAAGUGCUUACUUUGUGCCAGGCACUGUUCUAAACUCUGGGAUAGAUAUAAAAUAAUUGGGUUGGGCACAGUCUCUGUCCCACACGGGGCUCACAAUCUUAAUCCCCAUGAUUUACAGAUUUACAGAUGAGAGAACUGAGGCACAGAUAACUUAGUCAGGGGAGGCCUCUUAGAGAAGACGUGUUUUUAGUAAGGCUUUGAAGGUGGGGAGAGUGAUCGUCUGACCGAUAUGAAAGAGGAGGGAGUUUCAGGCCAGAGGCAAGAGGUGGGAGUGAUUAUUUCUGGAAGAUUCUCCAAGGUGACAUUGACUGCCAUUAUCGGGGCAUAGCCAACCCCCACUGCCCCCCGCAUUCCCGGAGGAAGUUCUUCCUGAAGUCUAACCUCUAUUUCUCUUGUUGCAGUCAGAGCUCUUUCCCUCUCAUUGGAGCUGAAGAAAAGCUGUCUUAUCCUGACACUUUCCUCCAACUCCCUUUCCAAAUAAGGCUCUUCUG